UUUGUGUUUCAUCUACAGAUCAUGUGAUGUAGCAUUUAUAGGUACAGGAAAAGACUUGACCUUGUAUAAAUGCAAAGGAUCUUUCAGUUAUAAAAUUAGAAGUUUUAUAAUUAAAAACAAGCUUGAUCUUGUAAACAGAAAAUCAUUCAUUGAAUACACGACUUUCCAUUGAUUAAAUCUGGAACUCCUAACUUAAAUUCUUCUAAUUCAUCAUGUAUGCUACUGGUUUCUCUUAUAUGAUCCAUAAGAAUACUUGUAACAUAAUCCAUGACUUGGUGCAUAUUUGAGGAUGUUGAUUGCAAUCCACAGUCAAUAAAUUUGUUUGGUAGCAUGUUAUAUUUAAUACCUGAAAUACAGUUGUCCAUUCUUAUAAAUGGUUAGUUUAUUCAUGUGAUCAGCAAGAAAAUUGACAUGAUCCAUUGUUGUAGUGCCGAAAAGUCCUUUUGAAAGUUUAUCUAUGAAAAGCAAAAGUGCACUUUUACUUCUAGAUUAGAUUAUCAUUAUGGUUGAUUAAAGAAUAAGACUCAAUACUCGAAAUUGUACACUUGUAUUUUGCUCCUGUUCAUUGUCUGAGGCUUUUUAUUCGAGUCAUCAUGUGAGAUAACAUGUGACACGAUUGAUUGUUCACUUAACAAGCUGGAAGUGCAGGCACAUCAAAUUAUUUUGUGUUCCCUUAAAUUAAAGCAUGAUGUCUAUUUAUUAAAAGGGUGUUAUUUUCAACUGCUAAUAUGUAAAUGUGAUUUUCCUGUAAAAGACUAUUUUUCGUCUUAAACAUUUGAAAAUUUAAGUGCGUUUGCCUUUGUUAUUUAGCCCUUUUACAUUUACAGUACAUAUGUUAAUACUCAUUCAAAAGACAGAGAAUUACAUGAUACUAUUCUUGUUCCAAACAUUUAAAAAUCAUUUUGUAGAACUAGAUUAUUAGUUUAUACUUCAUUAUGCAAAGUUAUAUUAAGCUUUGAUGUUUAAAACCAUCAACUUCCAUGUUCUACAAGUUGUUAAUGCAUUGUGUUCAUUAAAUUCAUCUCAGCACUAAAUACUUGUUCAUUUUUAUGCAUAUUGCUUUACUCAUGUCUGUCGGUCUGUCGGUCCGUCCACCAGGUGGUUGUCAGACGAUAACUCAAGAACGCUUGGGCCUAGGAUCAUGAAACUUCAUAGGUACAUUGAUCAUGACCCGCAGAUGACCCCUAUUGAUUUUGAGGUCACUAGGUCAAAGGUCACGGUGACCCGAAGUAGUAAAAUGGUUUCCGGAUGAUAACUCAAGAAUGCAUACGCCUAGGAUCAUGAAACUUCAUGGGUAGAUUGAUCAUGACUCGCAGAUAACCCCUAUUGAUUUUGAGGUUACUAGGUCAAAGGUCAAGGUCACGGUGACCCGAAAUAGUAAAAUGGUUUUCGGAUGAUAACUCAAGAACGCAUAUGCCUAGGAUCAUGAAACUUCACAGGUAGAUUGAUCAUGACUCGCAGAUGACCCCUAUUGAUUUUGAGGUCACAAGGUUAAGGUCACGGUGACCCGAAAUAGUAAAAUGAUUUUCGGAUGAUAACUCAAGAACGCUUUUGCCUAGUUUUCGAUGUGUUGGUAACUCUGCCCUGCCUUCAUUUAGAUUGAUCUCGGUACAAUUUAUAAACAUUUCAUUAUCAUUAGCACUUUGCUUUUUGAGUGGUUACUCCUCCGUUGUUAUAUGAAUAAUUUAGUGAAAAUGUUAAAUGUGUUAAAAUAUUGUUCCAAAAUAUUUUAUAACACUCAAUAGUGAUGCCAUCAGAUUCCGGACUUUUGUUAUUUGGCAUUUCUUAACGAGCUUGUCAAUAUUCAUAUUCAGUUUGUAAUCCUUCACAUACUUGUUAUUCCACUUCCUUUAAAGCAUGAUGUGUUAUUUUAAAGAGGUUGUUAUUUUCGGCAUUCUUUCGUUUAUAGUGUUUCGCAAAAUAGGCUUCUUCUAUUAUUUGACUUUUAUUUGUUAUGUCUUUGCCAUUAACUACUAGUCUGUGUAUAGUUUUGUGUUUGCUACUACGUUUUAAAAUGUUUGCACAGUAUUUUGUAUUGUUUUCAUUGUGUUCAACAUGCUGUGCCCGUGCUCAAAGUAAUAUGCCAUUGAGGUGUGUGUGAUAAAUUCCUUCUAUUAUUUUUUUGUGUGUGAAAAUUUCCUUCUUCAAUGGAGGUGGUAUAAUUUGUGUUUCUUUUAUGCAUCUGUUUUUCAAGUGCUUCAAUGACUUUUAUGGCUUCAUUUUCAAGUUUGUGUGUUUCUUUUUUUUUUAGCUUACCUGAGCACAACGUGCUCAUGGUGAGCUUUUGUGAUCGCCUUUUGUGUGUCGUCUGUCGUGCAGCGUCAACAUUUACCUUGUUAACACUUUAGAGGUCAUAUUUAUUGUCCAAUCUUCAUGAAACUUGGUCAGAACAUGUGUCCCAUUAAUAUAUUGGACGAGUUUGAAAAUGCUUCUUGUCGUUGAAAAACCUGCGUGCCAGGGGGCGUGGCAGUUUUCCUAAUAUGGCUAUUAUAAAACCUUGUUUAAGACUCUAGAAGUUAUAUUUUUUGUCCAAUCAUCAUGAAACUUGGUCGGAACAUGUGUUCCAAUAAAAUCUUUGACAAGUUCAAAAAUGAUUCCGGUUGGAAGAAAAACAUGGCCGCCAGGGGGCGGGGCAGUUUUCCUAUUAUGGCUAUAGUAAAACUUGUUCACACUGUAGAAGUCAAAUUUAUUGUCCAAUCUUCAUGAAACUUAGUCAGAACAUUUGUUCUAAUGAUAUCUUUAACGAGUUCGAAUAUGGUUCCAAUUGGUUGAAAAACAUGGCUGCCAGGUGGCGAGGCAGUUUUUCCUUAAAUGGCUACAGUAAAACCUUCUUAACACUCUAGAAGUCACAUUUUUAGUCCCUCACAACAUGUUUCCCAGUAAAAUCUUAAACGAGUUCGAAAAUGGUUCCAGUUGAAUGAAAAACAUGGCCGCCAGUGGUCGUGGCAGUUUUCCUUAUAUAGCUUUAGUGUAAAGUAAAUUUUCAACAUUCUUUCGUUUAUAGUGUUUCGAAAAAUAGGCUUUUUCUAUUAUUUGACUUUGAUUUGUUAUGUCUUUGCCAUUAACUACUAGUCAGUGUAAAGUUUUGUGUUUGUUUCUACGUUUUAAAAUGUUGUACAGUAUUUUGUAUUGUUUUCAUUGUGUUUAACAUGCUGUGCCCGUGCUCGAAGUAUUAUGCCAUUGAGGUGUGUGUGAUAAAUACCUACUAUUAUAAUUUUUAUGUUCCCCACUAUAGUAGUGGUGGACAUAUUGUUUUUGCCCUGUCUGUUGGUCAGUUGGUUUGUUUACGCGAACUUUAACAUUUUGCAAUAACUUUUGCUAUAUUAAAGAUAGCAACUUCAUAUUUGGCAUGCAUGUGUAUCUCAUGAAGCUGCACAUUUUGAGUGGUGAAAGGUCAAGGUAAUCCUUCAAGGUCAGAGGUCAAAUAUAUGUGGCCAAAAUCGCUCAUUUUAUGAAUACUUUUGCAAUAUUGCAGAUAGCAACUUGAUAUUUGGCAUGCAUGUGUAUCUCAUGGAGCUGCACAUUUUGAGUGGUGAAAAGUCAAGGUCAUCCUUCAAGGUCAGAGGUCAAAUAUAUGUUGCCCAAAUCGCUUAUUUUAUAAAUAAUUUUGCAAUAUUAAAGAUAGCAACUUGAUAUUUGGCAUGCAUGUGUACCUCAUGAAGCUGCACAUUUUGAGUGGUGACAGGUCAAUGUCAUCCUUCAAGGUCAGAGGUCAAAUAUAUGUGGCCCCAAUCGCUUAUUUUAUGAAUACUCUUGCAAUAUUGAAGAUAGCAACUUGAUAUUUGGCAUGCAUAUGUAUCUCAAGGAGCUGCACAUUUCAUUUUUGUAAGAAUUUCCUUCUACAAUGGAGGUGGUAUAAUUUGUGUUUCUUCUGUUUUUCAAGACCUUCAAUGACUUUUAUGGCUUCAUUUUCAAGUUUGUGUGUUACUUUUUUUAUUAGCUUACCUGAGCACAACUUUCUCAUGGUGAGCUUUUGUGAUCGCCUUUUGUGCGUCGUCUGUCAUGCAGCGUCAACAUUAACCUAGUUAACACUUUAGAGGUCACAUUUAUUGUCCAAUCUUCAUGAAACUUGGUCAAAACAUGUGUCCCAUUAAUAUCUUGGAGGAGUUUGAAAAUGCUUCUCGUCGUUGAAAAACCUGCGUGCCAGGGGACGUGGCAGUUUUCCUAAUAUGGCUAUUAUAAAACCUUGUUAAGACUCUAGAAGUUACAUUUUUUUGUCCAAUCAUCAUGAAACUUGGUCAGAACAUGUGUCCCAAUGAAAUCUUUGACAAGCUCAAAAAUGGUUCCGGUUGGAAGAAAAACAUGGCCGCCAGGGGGCAGGGCAGUUUUCCUAUUAUGGCUAUAGUAAAACUUGUUCACACUGUAAAAGUCAAAUUUAUGGUCCAAUCUUCAUGAAACUUAGUCAGAACAUUUGUUCUAAUGAUAUCUUGGACGAAAUCAAUUAUGGUUCCAAUUGGUUGAAAAACAUGGCUGCCAGGUGGCGUGCCAGUUUUUCCUUACAUGGCUACAGUAAAACCUUGUUAACACUCUAGAAGUCACAUUUUUAGUCCGUCAAAACAUGUUUCUCAAGAAAAUCUUCAACGCGUUCGAAAAUGGUUCCAGUUGAAUGAAAAACAUAACCGCCAGUGGUCGUGGCAGUUUUCCUUAUAUAGCUUUAGUGUAUAGUAAAACCUUUUUAACACUCUAGAAGUCACAUUUAUUGUCCAAUCUUCAUGAAACUUAGUCAUAACAUUUCUACAAUCCAUAUCUCAGAUGAGUUUGAAAAUGGUUCUGGUCUGUUGAAAAACAUGGCUGCCAGGUGGCGGGCCAGUUUUCCUUACAUGGCUAUAGUAAAUCCUUGUUAUAACGCUAAAAGUCACAUUUGUGGUCCAAUGCUUAUGAAACUUGGUCAGAAUAUUUGUACUAAUGAUAUCUGGGCUCAGAUUGAAAAUGGUUUAGGUCCGUUUAAAACAUGGCCGCAAGGGGGCGUGUCAUUUUUCCUAAUAUGGCUAUUUAGUAAUGUUAACACUAGAAGUCGCAAUGAUUAUCCAAUCUUCAUGAAACUUGAUCAGAACAUUUAUUCUAACAAUUGCUCAGCUGAGUUUGAAAAUGGUUAAAAUACGUUGAAAAAUAUCGCCGCCCGGAAGGGGGGGCAGUUGUCCUUAUAUGGCUUUAUUGAAAACUUGUUGACGCUAUAUUAGCCUCAUUUAUUGGCCAAUCUACAUGAAACUUGGUCAAAACAUUAUUUUGUCCCAAUGAAAUCUUAGCGAAGAUUGGAAAUGGGUCAUAUGAGCUUAAAAACUAGGUCACUAGGUCAAAUAUAAAAAAAAACAUGUUGAAAGUCACUUUUUUGGUCUAAUCUUCAUGAAUCAGCUUGCAUUUGUCCAGAAUAGUCUAGUACCUUUUGCUCUCAGGUGAGCGCCUUAGGGCCUAACAGCCCUCUUGUUUUAAAUGACUUGCAUCUUAUUGUUGUGUUAAGUAUCUUGCCUUUAAUUAUUUCCCAUAAGGUGUGUGGAUUUGCAUCUUUGUUAUCUUAAACUGUAUUGGUUAUUACCUGUUAUAUUUGUGUUUGAUAUUGUGUAUCUUUUCAAAAGCUAUUAUUUACUUUAAAAAAAAAAGAACAUUUUGAAUAACAUAAUUGAAAACUACAAUUACAUAAACAUAUGGCAUACAGUUAAUCAUAAUGAAAAAAAAAUACACCUGGCACUCAAACACAAAACCAGCAAUAUUUUGGAGAUAAGAUUUUUUUUAAAUAUGCGAGUCUAUUGCAACAUUAUCGAAACAUGCAACAUAAAACCAAGAUUUAUGACUGAUCACUCGAUAGUUGAACUUUAACUGCAUGAAAUACAACCUGAAAUAGCCCAAGGUACUUUAAAGAUUUCCAUUUCUUUUAUCUCUAAUAAUGGGUUAAAAACAAUAUUGAAAUCCUCUCCGACUAUCUAUGUUCGGACCGUAAACGUUCAUUAAUGUUAAUUGUGUUUCGUGUAUUUUUAUAUCUAUACUUGCUUGUCUGCCAAUCAUUAUUACGUUCAAGUAAUUCACUGUUACUCAUGUAUGACUUUUACUCAGACAAGCGAUGCCUUGUUUAUUUGUAUGUUGUCCGCUAAGAUAAAUAUCUCCGUCCCAACCACUUUUUAAUGUUUUUGCUAAGGUAUGUUUUAGGUGACUUUCCUGUAUAAAAAAGACUUAUAAUACCUUUUUUUGUCUAACCAUUUGAAACUUUUAGUGCAUUUAUCUUUGUUAUUUAGCCCUUGUACAUUUACAGUACAUAUGUUAAUACUCACACAAAAGAACCAAAAUUGCAUGAUACCAUUCUUGUUCCAAACAUUUUAAAAUCAUUUUGUAGAGCUAGAUUAUUAGUUAGUUCAUUAUGUCAAGUUAUAUUAAGCUUUGAUGUUAAAAACAAUUACCUUCCAUGUUCUACAGGUUGUUGAAACAUUGUAUUCAUUAAAUUGAUCUCAGCACUAA
Dreissena polymorpha is the source of this 6447-nucleotide long non-coding RNA. RefSeq lists it as uncharacterized. The record is from RefSeq and is a predicted model, not a curated record. The transcript is spliced from 2 exons. Lineage: Eukaryota; Metazoa; Mollusca; Bivalvia; Myida; Dreissenidae.